RNA transcript from Zingiber officinale, 8239 nucleotides. RefSeq lists it as uncharacterized. The transcript has 6 exons. NCBI's taxonomy places the organism in Eukaryota, Viridiplantae, Streptophyta, Magnoliopsida, Zingiberales, Zingiberaceae. The record is from RefSeq and is a predicted model, not a curated record.
AAAUAUAUUACAUAUUUCUUAACUCCUUCCGCCCUUUCGGCGUUUUGGGCACCGCUCGCUCUCGCGAGGGCAAAUCCGGCGAUUGAUCGGAGAACGAUCGAGCUUACGGUACCUUCCUCGUCUCACUGCCUCUCUUCUGCCGCUCUUCGAGGUUGGCAUGUUACCCGCUCGUUGUUGUGGAGUUGUUGUGUUCCGUCGCCUUCUUGGCUCGUAGUCAGAGUCCUCAGCUAACAUCACCAAUCCAUUCUUGUUUUUCGCCCAAGGAAUUAGGCGCAGAAAGCAUGAGGUGAUCCUCACCAUGACAAUCGACAAGUUGGGGAAAACUAGGUAUGGUGAAGGUGGCGCCAGGGCAUUUCCGUAACCACCUGAUGCCUAAGCUGCUUGCGGUCAUAAACAUAGAGAAGCAUGCUUUCCUCAUGCGGGAACAACGCGAGGCAAAGCAAGAAAAAAUGAAAGAAUAUCAGGCAGCAGCAAGGCGUCUUGAUAAUGCUCACCUUACCUUGUGGAGGUACAUGAAAGUUGACAAUGAGAUCCGAACACCUGUAACCAAGGAUGAAAUUGUAGCUGAGAGCCUAAAGCUACUAGGGAGGGAGCGGAAAUGGAGUCCGUCCCUUCCAAGGUCUCCUAUGCGGCGACUUUGAAGCCACAGUCUCCACGCACCUCGAAGAAAUGCUUCGUUGACCUUGGGGAGGAGUGCAUGCCUGCAAUGAUCUACAACAAUAAACCAGGUAUAUUUUACUCUGAGGAUGAGAUCGUUAGUAUGACUAAACCUUAUGAAUUCGCAUUAAUCGGAAAGUUUUCUGGCUGAAGGCCAAAUAAUAUGGUUGUUUUUCAAGCUUUUGAGAAUUUGGGAUUGUCUAGCUUCUAAAAUGUUCGGUUUUGCAUUCGGGAUACAUUUUAUUGCAUCUUACUUCAAAUGAAGAUAUGGCUUGUAUUUGGGCUCGUGGUGUUUGGUACAUUGGAGGUGGUGUUUGGUACAUUGGAGCUGGUGUUUGGUACAUUGGAGUGUUCCUUUGAGAAUUUUUAAGUGAUCUCCUCAUUUUUCCUAUGAGGUAGAAUCCUCUGUUCUUCCUGUUUGGAUUCAGCUUCCAGAUCUGCCUAUUCAUAUGUUUGACAAGAGGUGUUUGUUUUCAAUUGCUUGCAUUAUUGGGUAACUGAUUAAAAUCGAUGAAGCAACUGCUGAUGGAACCAGAUUGUAUAUGGCUCGGGUAUGUGUGGAGAUAGAUCUCUUAAAACCAAAGGUAGAGGAUUUUUGGAUUGGCAUUGGUGAGGAAAAGAGGCUGCAAAAAGUGGUGUUUGAAAAACACCCUACGUACUGUAUUGAUUGUUUGCAUCUGGGUCAUUCUGUAGAUGAUUGUUAUACUAAUGACAAGAAGCCGAAACCUAUGUGGAGGUCUGAUAAGAUGGAGACUAAUGCUGAUAAUGAGGAUUUAAGAAUGAUUAUAAAUCAAAGGAGGAAUACUGGGAAAGAAAAAGAGAAUUCUGCUGAUUUGAAGGAGACACAUCUUGAUGCUUUGAAUAAUAAAGAUGUGGCAAAUCAGGUUUGGAUUCAGAAAUAGGUGAGUUCCAUUAGAAUGGAAAUGGCUGCCAAAGAAGAUAAUGAAGGUGGAAAGAGAUUCCAACCUCUUUGUGCUUUGGAGGAAGUUGAGCAAGGUACCAUGCAUGAAGAAGCAAAACUGAACAGGGAUGAGGUGAUUAUUAGACAGAUGGUAUUGCUCAAGAAAGGAAUAAAAAUAGAAUUUUGGAUGGGCAGACAAGCAGUGACCAGAUGGAGGGAGAAGAGAAGUCUUUGAGAUUGGAGAUUUAGCUGGAAUUUUGGAUUCUAAUUCUGAUUUAAAUGUGGCUGGUGGGCAUCAUAGUCAGAAGGAAAUAAAUUUAAUUGAAGAUGGUGGUAUUUUGCGUGUUGGAUCAGAGCAAACAGUGGCUGGUCAGAAUGAAAAGAUGGAGAAUUCCAUUUGGGCAUAGGUGUUUACAGUGAAAAAGGCUGGCUCAGUUUCUGAACACAGAAUUGUCAAAGUUGGGGCUUCUAGCUGUGUCAACCUUGUCAGUGAAGAAUGCAGAAUUACCUACAGCAUGUGUUUCAUCUAUGGGAAAGCGUUUAGCAGUUUGUCAAUUGAAUCAAAUGACUGAUAAUGUAGAGCAAUCAGGAGGUUCUUCUUCCUUUUUAGAGAUGUAGGUAGGGAAUGUUGGUGUUGGAAUGUCCAAAUCUUUCGUGGAUACAGAUGAGUCUGAUACAUCUGUUUCUGUGCAUUUACAAAGAAGCUCUUGUCUUUCAGAUUUUUCAAGUGUGAUCCUUGAGAAAUUGAUGUCUUGCAUAAGGAAUUGGUCAUCCAACAACCUCCGAUUGUUAAUCAAAGGGUAACUCGAAGCAAAGCAAGUUCUCAAAGAGCUUCUUCUUCAAAAAAAAAAUUAAAUGUCUGGGAUAAUAUGGAACAUAAGAGGCAUAGGAAAUACCGCCUCUCUAAGAGAGCACUGUUUCUGAAAAAAAUAUCACCAUGCUAAUUUUAUGGGUAUCCUUGAGCCUUUUGUUUCUUUUGAUGAAUCUUUUAUCACUAGGAGGUUGGGUUUUAAUCAUGGUGUGACAAACUGUUCUGAGUAAAUUUGGUUUCUUUAUGAUAAUAAUGUUGAUUCUACUCUGUGUUGAUGGAUCAUGAACAAUUUUUACAUCUUAAAUUACAAUCUCAUAUUUUCCCUAUUAGUAUGUUGGUGACUGUGGGUUAUGCUAAAUGUAUGAGAAUUGAAAGAAAUGUUCUUUGAGGAAACCUUUUAGAUAUCAAGCCUGAUGUUGAUGAUUUCUGGUUAGUGGGUGGAGAUUUUAAUGUCAUAACUGGACCAGUGAGCAUUCUGUAGGAAUUCUUUCUAAGUUGGGUGUAGUGGAUGAUUUCAAUAAUUUUUUGAUGAUAAUUGGUUUAUUAGAUGCUGGUUUUGUGGGAGACAGGUUUACGUGGACUAAUAAUAAGAUUUGGAAGUGUUUGGAUAGAAUACUUAUUUCUCCAUCAUGGAAUAAUCAUAUGUUUUCAGUUCGGGUGGAGCAUUUAAGUAGGGUUGCUUCUGAUCACGGUCCUUCAUUCAUUUCAUUUCAUGGUUUUUCUCAGUCGGUGCCAUCAUUUCAAUUUCAAAAUAUGUGGAUUAAACAUCACAAUUUUUUUGCUCAUGGUUAGGCUGAAUUGGAUGUUGCCUUGUGAUGUCUUUGGACUUCAUAAAUUGCAAUUUAAACUUAAGAGGUUAAAAGCUCAUUUGAAAUGGUGGAACACAGAUGUGCUUGGGAACAUUCAUGACAAGGUCAAGCAAGCUGAGGAGGAAUUUUCUAUUGCUCAAAAGUCUUUUGAUUUGGAUCCCAAUAAAGUGAAUAAAUUGAAUAUGGCCAAGAAGCAAGCAUCUCUGUUUCAAACUUUAUAUAUGGAGGAGACUUUUUGGAAGCAAAAGGCAGCUGUUAGGUGGAUGGGUGAAGGUGACCGAAACACUAAAUUUUUCCAUAGUAUGGUACAAAAAAGGAGAAUGGCAAAUAGGAUCUUUCGGAUAUGGAAUGAGGGGAUUUGCUUGGACAAGCCGGAGCUUAUUCAAGCUUCGGGUGCAGAUUUUUUUAAGGACUUGUCUACUGGAGAGGAAUUUGAUUGCACCGAAAUAGAUAUGGAGCAUAUUCCUUCUUUAAUUAGUGCUAAUGAUAAUUCUGUUUUAUGUGCAUUACCCUCUGUGGAGAUUAAGCAGAUUAUUUUCGAUGUGUGAAGAUAGUGCAGUUGGUUUGGAUGGUUUUCUGUGCCCUUUUAUGUUGCUUGUUCGGAGAUUAUUAAGGAAGAUGUAUAUCAAGUUGUUUUGGAUUUUUUCAGGCGGGGUCAUCUUCCAAAGGGAAUGGCUGCCACUACCAUUGUCCUUUUACCGAAAAUUGAUAGUCCACUACAAUGGCAAGAUUUCAGGACAAUUAGUUUGCAAUGUCUCGAACAAGAUUAUUUCUAAAUUGAUUUCUAUUAGAUUGAGACAAACACUAGAUAAAAUUAUAUCUCCUUUGCAAAGUGGCUUUGUGUUAGGGCGUUUAUAUUAAAUAAUAUUCUUUUGGCUCAGGAGCUUAAUCACAAAUUGAAUUAUCAUGUGAGAGGUGGUAAUUUAAUUCUAAAGCUUGAUAUGGCUAAGGUUUAUGAUAGGGUUCAAUGAUGUUUCCUAUUUAAGGUAGUGACAGCUUUUGAGUUUUCUGAUUCAGUUAUUGAUCUUAUUAGAAGAUGUGUUGAUGCCUGUUGGUUUUCUAUGCGUAUUAAUGGUCAUUUGUCUGGUUUCUUUCAUGCAAAACGAGGCCUUCAACAAGGGGAUCCUAUUUCCCCACCGUUAUUUAUUAUUGCUGCUGAAUUUUUUUCUAGGGGAUUUGAUUCUCUUUUUAAUAAAUGCUCUUUGAAUCUGGAUGUGGGGUUAAGAUAUCACAUCUUGCAUAUGCUGAUGAUAUUAUGAUCUUAAUGAAUGGAUCUAUUAAUGGUGUGAAAAGAGUUAAAGAUUUUUUGAGGACGUAUGAAACUUGUUCGGGUCAAUUGAUUAAUGAGGUUAAGAGUCAGUUUUUUCUUCUAAAGGAAUAUGUGUUGGGCAUAGAAAGUUGAUUGCUACCAUUUCCGAAUUUCACGAAGGGCAGUUCCCAAUUAUUUAUUUGGGGGUUCCUAUUUUUUCUGGAAAUAGAAAGUCGGUUUAUUUUCAGUCUCUUUUAGAAAAAUUAAGAAAAAAGCUUCUUGGAUGGAAUAUCUCGCGGCUCUCACAUGAGGGCCAGUUACUUCUUAUUUAGAGUGUUGUGUUCCUUGCCCUUUUAUUUAUUGCAGAUUAGGCUUCCUCCUUUAUGCUAUGUUUACUCUAAAGUACGAAUGAGGAAGGGAAAGGAAUCUAUGGUAGAAAAUUAUCCUCAGAGGAAGAGAAGAGAAAGGGUGAAGAAAUCCCUUCCUUUACAUGCUUGUUUAUCUUGAUAGAGGAAGAUGAAUAUAUGCAAUGUAAUUUUGUAAAUAAAAAAGGGUACAUGUGUCAUUUUUUUUUAGGUACAUGGUGUAAUUUUGUAAGUUAAAAAGGGUACAUGCGUCUUUUUUUUUUUGGUAUAUGGUGUAAUUUUGUAAAUGAAAAGGGGUACAUGUGUUAUUUUUUUUUCCAUCCGUUGCUUUCCGUCCGAUUUUUAGGUGAUCAAUUUUGGCUCCAAAACUAUCUGUUGAUGGAUUGCAUUUCUUUUUCAUCUGAAAAUUUUAAUGAAGUAAAUUGCGGAAACUUUUCCUUAGUUUUGGUUUCCACUUUCCCAAGUAAACUGACUAUUAGUAAUCCUCCAUCAAUUUGAAAUGAUGUUUGCUAAUUUUUUUCUGGGGAUCUUUGGUUUUAAAAAAGAAGACGCAUUGGAUUUCUUGGUCUGAGAUUUGUAGACCAAAAUUAGGAGGAUUGGGGGUAAGGAGACUUUCAGAUGUGGCUACUACAUUAUCAAUUAAAUUGUGGUAUCGUUUUAGAGAGCAGAAGACUCCAUGUUAAACCUCCUGUUUUAGUUGAGUUAAAAUGUAAUGCUUUUCCAUAUUGGCGACGACUUAUUAAAAUUCGCAGCAUUGCAGAACAGCAUAUUGGGUGGAUUAUAGGCAAUGGAAAACCAAAAUUUUGGAAUGAUUGUUAGCUUGAUAGUGGUCCAUUAUUUAGGUCUUAUGUUGUUUUGGGGAUUCCAGAUGUUUUGGUUUCAAAUUUUAUUGAUGAGCAGUGUUGGAACCUGGUUAAACCUCGGGGAGCCAUCUGGAUGUUAUUGUGAAAGAGAUUGGUGAGUUGCCUAUUUUGAUGAAAGAACCGGAUAGAUUAGUAUGGAGACCUUCUAAAGAUGGCCAAUUCUCUCUAAAAUCUGCAUGGAAUUGUGUUAGAACUCCACAUCAGUCCCAUUUAAUUUGGAGGGCUUGUUGGAGUAGAUUGUUGAUUCCGAAUAUCUCUAUAUUUGUUUGGAGAUUUUUACGACGAAGAUUGCCAGUUGAUGAUAUUUUAAAACAAAGGGGGGCCUGUUUGGCUUCUAAAUGCCAAUGUUGUGAAUCCAUGGAAUCUUAGGAUCAUCUUUUUUUCAAUGGGACAAUUGCUCGAGGUAUAGGCCUACUUUGUACAUCUUUUUCAGGUUAGAAAUUUUAUUAUGUUUGAGAGUUGGAUGGUUGGAGCUGGAUGGUCUCAUCAAGUCCAUGUCCGUGAGGUGAUACCUUUCCUUAUUUUUUGGUUUUUGUGGGUGGCUCGUAAUGAUGCUAAGCAUCGUGGUAUUACCCCAUCGGUGCAAAAAAUUAUUAGGAAUAUUAUGCAAUAUAUCUGUCAUAGUAGUGCUGUUGGGUUUAUUAAGAAUUGUCAUUGGAAUGGUUACAUUUUGGUAGCUAAGUUCCUUGGGAUACAUGCUGAGAUUAAGUCAAUCAAUAUAGUUACUAAGGUGAAGUGGCAAAAGCCCGAAGUGGGGGUCUAUAAGCUCAACACUGAUGGGUACUCGAAAGGUAACCCAGGGCCCUCUUAUGGGUUUAUUGUUAGAGAUUCUAAUGAAUUGGUUAUUAGAGUUAUGCAGGCAUCUAUUGGUUUGGGAACAACUGUGAGAGCAGAAUUAUUUGCCAUUUGGAAAGGUUUGCAAUUUUGUAUUGAUAAUUUUUACUUUCCUUUAUGGCUUGAAUCUCAUUCCAUGGUUGCUUUACAAAUUAUUCGGUCUCCUUUUGUAUGCUGGGAGUUUAGACAUUUGGUACUGAAAAUUAAGAACCUGAUUGGUAACUAUAAUGUUCAUUGAAUUUGUAAAUUGGAGAGGAUUGGUCUUCCUUAUGUGAGACUUUCAUGUAAACCUGAUACAUAGGGGAGUGUGGAAUUUCUGGAAAAUCUCAAGGGGGAGGUACUGGACAUGAAGACAGCUUAUAUUUUGUUGAAAUGUGAUGUUUAAUCAGAAAAGUAGAUUUUGUGGUGUUCCUUGAAGAUUGGUUUCUCUGAUAUGGGUUUCUGAAUUUUGAUGGAUCUGUUCUGGUAUGGGUUUCUGUUUGUGUAUAUGGAGUUCCUGAUAUGGCUAUUUCAUGGAAAACCUCAAAGGGUGCAUGUCUAGCUUUUGAAGGCAUGAAUUUUGAGAUUCCUGGUCUGUGUCACAAGCAUAGGGGUUUUGUAUUUUGCUACAAGGUUUCUUUCUUUUCAUAUUGUGAAGCACUUGUGAAAUGUUCUUCUUGGUGUUUUACCGGCUGGAGGUUCCCAAAAUGUGAGGGUCUUGCUGCUUAUUGGUGCAAGAUCUUUGUGAUUUGGUGGCUUCUUUGUGUUGCGGAUUGGUGGUUAUACUAAAAGGUUUUCCUGUGCCGGGAAUUCAAACUCUCUCUUUGCAAUGGUGUAUUUUGGUUUGUAUUGGAGAAGUACCCUGAGGCUAUGAUUUGUCUUGAUCAGAAGUUGAUGAGGUUUUAUUGGUGAUGUUGGUAUGCUUGUUUUGAUAGCUUUGCUAUUUAAUGAAUCCAGCAUCUGUUUAGUGCAGCUUCAUUAUUACCAUGGAGUUUUGAUUCUCAAUUUCUGCUAUGUGGUAAUUGAUUAAUGAGUGUAAGUUUAAGCCUGCUAAAAUGAUGAUGAUUGUUAAUGCUAUUGUUUGUUUUUGGAAUGGGGGAGGGCUGCUGUUAUUCUAGUUGUUUUGGUAAAUUUGUGGAGCUGCAAUUUUUUAAACGUGGUUUUCUUUUUGUAAUGUUGUAAGGAGCUGAUGUAAUUAUAUUGGUGGUUUUGAUAGGGAAGCUGGUGUUUUUUCUGAUGUUUUUUUUAUAUGGUGAAAGCUUAUGGAUGAAGAAGCUUGUUUGGUGUUAGAUGUAUAUUUUAUUGAUUUGAGAUGGUAUCACAAAUCUGAAGUGUGUUUAGAUGUCUAUUGGUGAUUCGGUGAUGUGAUAAUCACUUGUAUUUCUUGCACUUUGUGUGCAAGAAUUAGAUUUCAUUUCUUUUUUGAGUAGUCUGUUUGGAGAUCAUGGUAUGGACUUAUUUUUGUGAGCUUGGAGGCAUAUUCUCGUCCGUUCAUUGUUGGUGGUUAUUUUGGAGAUACAAGUCCUCAAGGAAGUGGCAGAAACAUCUUUGGUAUGCUGUUAUUUUGUUAUAGAGUUUGUAAGUAAAGUCUUUGUGUUUUGUGAUCUUGGAAUGUAAGUAUAGAGAGGAGCUAUCUUAGUUUGAAUACACAUGUAAAUCUUUGGAGUCUUUGUAAAUUGUAGUAUGAGGUCAGGUUUACUAUGGUUUUCUUUUCAUAGAUGCAAUUUCUUUUUGAAUUAGAAAAAUAGUUAGCUUGUAAAUUUACAGACUC